AUCUCUUUCUAAACAAGGAGGGAAAUACUGGACCUGAGUUAUCAGAAGCCAGGUCAUGCUUAUGUCAGAAGCUGUUAAGCCAUCAACCUGCACUCCAAACAUCUGCUCAGGAUUAGCAUGAAAUGGGUCCAAAGAAAUCCACACUGGAACUACAAAGAAGAGCAUGGAAAACAUGAACUCCAAGUAGUUGAAAGACAGAUUUCAAUAAAAAGAAGAAAAGAUAAGCAAAGGAA
Mus caroli (Ryukyu mouse) is the source of this 233-nucleotide long non-coding RNA. RefSeq lists it as uncharacterized. Lineage: Eukaryota; Metazoa; Chordata; Mammalia; Rodentia; Muridae. The record is from RefSeq and is a predicted model, not a curated record.